RNAcentral lists this transfer RNA (62 nucleotides) under Podarcis lilfordi (Lilford's wall lizard). RNAcentral's name for it is "tRNA.Ala". Lineage: Eukaryota; Metazoa; Chordata; Lepidosauria; Squamata; Lacertidae. The record is from RNAcentral.
GAGCUUAGUGGCAGGGCACCUGCUCAGCAUGCAGAAGGCCCUGGGUUCAAUCCCCAGUGGCA